GUGGAUUAGAUACCCUGGUAGUCCACGCUGUAAACGAUGAGUGCUAGUUGUCGGCAUGCAUGCAUGUCGGUGACGCAGCUAACGCAUUAAGCACUCCGCCUGGGGAGUACGGUCGCAAGAUUAAAACUCAAAGGAAUUGACGGGGGCCCGCACAAGCGGUGGAGCAUGUGGUUUAAUUCGAAGCGACGCGCAGAACCUUACCACCUUUUGACAUGCCUGGACCGCCGGAGAGAUCCGGUUUUCCCUUCGGGGACUAGGACACAGGUGCUGCAUGGUCGUCGACAGCU
Molecule: ribosomal RNA, 287 nt
Filed under: uncultured bacterium
Lineage: Bacteria
Description: partial 16S ribosomal RNA
Rfam family: Bacterial small subunit ribosomal RNA
Source: RNAcentral